AUUGAACGCUGGCGGAAUGCUUUACACAUGCAAGUCGAACGGUAGAGGGGGCAACCCCUUGAGAGUGGCGAACGGGUGAGUAAUAUAUCGGAACGUGCCCAGUCGUGGGGAUAACGUAGCGAAAGUUACGCUAAUACCGCAUACGAUCUAAGGAUGAAAGCGGGGGAUCGCAAGACCUCGCGCGAUUGGAGCGGCCGAUAUCAGAUUAGGUAGUUGGUGAGGUAAAGGCUCACCAAGCCAACGAUCUGUAGCUGGUCUGAGAGGACGACCAGCCACACUGGAACUGAGACACGGUCCAGACUCCUACGGGAGGCAGCAGUGGGGAAUUUUGGACAAUGGGCGCAAGCCUGAUCCAGCAAUGCCGCGUGCAGGAUGAAGGCCUUCGGUUGUAAC
This 393-nucleotide ribosomal RNA is filed under the name uncultured bacterium. RNAcentral's name for it is "bacterial SSU rRNA". It matches the Rfam family "Bacterial small subunit ribosomal RNA", at positions 30 to 429 of the family's 1533-position model. The record is from RNAcentral.